CAGUAGCCGCGGUAAUACGAAGGGUGCAAGCGUUAAUCGGAAUUACUGGGCGUAAAGCGUGCGUAGGCGGUUUGUUAAGUCUGCUGUGAAAUCCCCGGGCUCAACCUGGGAAUGGCAGUGGAUACUGGCAAGCUAGAGUGUGUCAGAGGAUGGUGGAAUUCCCGGUGUAGCGGUGAAAUGCGUAGAGAUCGGGAGGAAGAUCAGUGGCGAAGGCGGCCAUCUGGGACAACACUGACGCUGAGGCACGAAAGCGUGGGGAGCAAACAGGAUUAGAUACCCCAGUAGUUCCUGUCUCUUAUAC
Molecule: ribosomal RNA, 301 nt
Filed under: uncultured bacterium
Lineage: Bacteria
Description: partial 16S ribosomal RNA
Rfam family: Bacterial small subunit ribosomal RNA
Source: RNAcentral